This 3374-nucleotide long non-coding RNA is filed under the name Callithrix jacchus (white-tufted-ear marmoset). RNAcentral's name for it is "lncRNA (ENSCJAG00000051594.2)". The record is from RNAcentral. Lineage: Eukaryota; Metazoa; Chordata; Mammalia; Primates; Cebidae.
CCCCUGUAACACUGGAUGCAGCCCACUUGGACCUCAUCCUUUCCCAGGAUCUAAAGACAGUGAUGCUGGACCUCGACUCCUAGGUUGGUUUGCAGAAGCCGGGCUACUGCAGACUCUUUGACCAGUUCAGCUGUGUGAAAAGAAAGUUGCCCAGGUUCCACAGCAAGAGACAAGGCACAAUCUAUUGCAGCAUAAUAAAUAACUGAUUACUUAGUUAUAGCAAUAAUACCAAUAUUUUUACUGAUUACUUAUAGCAAUGAUAUAUUUGCUGAUUACUAAGUUAUGGUAAAGACGCCAGAUAGAUAUUAGAUUCACUCACAUGAUCAAUUAUAUAAUCUAUCUUAUUACAUCAUUAUUCUCUAUUAAUCUUUGCUUUAGUGUAGGAAUAUUUUAGUCUUAUAGUAUAGACAUAAUCAGGUGAAAUAUAAUUAGAGACUGAAGGGACAUUGUGAGAAGUUAUCAGGAGGUAAGAAUAAAUGCCUUGCGGUAGCACCAGCGCCUGGGAAGGCGCCCGUUACUCAGCUGGCAGGCCUUGCGGUAACCCCAGCAUCUGGGAAGGCACGAGUUACUUAGCAGGCUAUGGGGGGAAGUUUUCCUUUCACUGAGGAGUUCAGAGAAAACUCUACUCUGCGGCUCUUGAUGAAGGUCUGACACUAGCCGGGCCGGCCCACAGACAUCCAGGGGUUUAAACACCUCUCCACCGAUGGUCACCAACCUUAUCCACUUUAAUGUUCCACUUUCCCACCAAUGCUCCCUUGUAAAUUCUUAGAAGCUGUGAGAAGAACAGAGGAAUCCUAAAAGGCCUUUGAUCUCUCUGAUAAGUGCAUAGAAAGAUACUGACGUAUGUGCCUCCCCUUCUUGCAGCGGCUACCUGAAAGGGAGGGGCCCCCUGAACUGUACCCACGUGGCCCCCCCGUAUUGUAAGAAUGUGAUUUGAGUGACCCCUACCAAUCAUGUCAGAUGAGUUAUUCUCCCGCUCUGCCCCCUGCCUUGUAUACAAUAAAUAUCAGCGCGUCCAGGCUUUCGGGGCCACUGCUGGACUCCGCCCCUUGGUAGCAGUGGUUCCCAGGGCCCAGCUGAAUUCUUCUCUGUACACAAAAGAACACCCACUAGACCCUGCGAGGCUGGACUCGCCAGGGGGCCUUUCCUCAGGCGGAUGCGCCUGGGAGGCGGAGCUCCAAGGUCCCGGGAACCCGGCCUACAUGCUGGGCGUGGCCUCGGAGUUGGUUCCCAGGCGGGGCUUUCUGGAGGUGGAGCCCUUGACCGACUUCUGGGAGUUGCAUAUCACCGGGUCCGAGUGCCAGGCGUUCACUGAAGGAUCUCCAGUUUCUUCCUUUCUGCAAUAUGCCUGGAUUGAAAAGGAAGGAUCAAAUACACGGAAAAGCUAUACACAAAGCUGUUCAUUGCAGCACAGUUGGUAACAGGAUAAGAUCGGAAACAAACGUCUAUCAACCGGUGGUUGAAAAAGCUGCCAAGUGCAAGCAUCCAGCUGCACCGUGGAUAAGACAGACUCGGAGGACUGCACCACUGACCCCGGCUUGUUCCCUCUCUCUUCCUCCACCUUAUCUCCCGCAGCCCCCGCGGCCCUGCGCAGGGCUUUGACCCAUCCGAACCUCAUCCUGAAAACCGACAUACUCAGAACGUUUCUAGUUCUUCAUAGUACUCAGAAACCAAAAUUUAUCCCAGGACCAGACGCAUCCUCCUCUCAAACCCGCACCACCACUACCCGAAACCAAAGUCUUGAUCAUUCCUAGUGUUGCCGUGUGAGGGACUGAAGUUAAACCCAGAGGAGGACUGCUCCUGUUUCCUCAGCGAGCCCAAAAAUAUAAAAGGGCGAGGAGGUUGGAAACACAGAGACGAAAUGACCUACGGAGAGUAAAACGCACGAUCUGGGCCAGAGUAUGAGAUGAUUAUGGGUUCCUUCCUCUUCCUCUUCCUUCAGUCCGGCUGAGGACUGGGUAGGCGGAUGGGUUCAGGGGUCUGUAGGAUUUUCCAGCCGCCUCGGUAGGGUAGGGAGAAGCCAGUUUUGCAGGAGGCGUGGGGAGUCGCCCGCCCGACCACCCGGCUGCCCGGCGCGUGGCUGUGCAGCGGGAGGGCGGGCCCUGGUGUAAGGGCGGGAGCGAGCCAACGCCCGGAGCGCGGAUUCCAGGGGCCCGCAGUCAGCCCUGGCCCGGCUCCCCCAUCCAGUUCCCCCGGUCGCCCGCGAAGCGCCGCCGAUUACAUAAACAGCCUUCACCUCCCUAAGGAGGGGACAACCGAGAGCUGGAGACACGCAGGCCAAGACCCGCAAGCAACGCCUCUCCGGACGUUUAUUCAGAUCACCCGGGACUGCCCAAAUUCCCUAUUUACAGUUCUCACAGCCCUCGUCAAGGUCAUGGACUUCGCGCCCUUUAUCUUGUUUCCUUUCAUUGUGUACAGAUUUAACUUCCUCACUAGAAAGGGAGAUCUUUCCUCCACUGUCUUAAGUUGAUUUUAUACUCCUGGCUCCACCAACCCCUGACACUUAGCACAAACCCUAGAAUGGGGUAGUUGAUUAAUAAAUAUUUACUAAAUUAAAACCAUGUGUUACUUUCUCUUUUCCCGCAAAAGAUUGAUGUCUUGGAAAUCCCACUCAAUUUUCGUGGACCAGCUCCACCUCACCUCCUCCAGGAAGCCUUCCCUGAAAGGGCUCCUGACUCCUCUUGUCGGAAGUGUGCACACUCCCAAAGCCUCUACUGCCAUCUCCCUGCACUUACUGCAGGUUGACUGUGAAGUCCCGGAGAACAGAAGCAGCCUCCCUACUCAUUUUCCUGUCACUCUCCCACCCUCCUUGAGCAGUACAGGGCCUGGUUCCUAAAGGGAUUUAAAUGAAGGAAGGAUUCAAAGUAAAUGAAAGAAUACUCUGUGGCAAGGUUUAAAUUUGGGAAGGUCUUCCAUCCUGGACCUUAAUUUAACCUUGAACUAUGACCACACUCUACUCAGCUGUGAGGGAUAGGUAUCCCCUCUUUAGGAGCCUCUCAGAAGAACAUUUACUUAAAGAGUGUCAUGAAGUCAAGUGAAUAGGGAACCCUUGCCAAGAGCCUAGAUUUCCAUUUCCCAGUCCAAAGUGUUUACUGCCCCUUCACACAGUUGUGAUAGUACUAACAACAUGUUUACGGGGCUGAACAGUUUACUAAAUGGAUUCAGAUACAUUAUUCCAUUUGCUUCUCACAACUGCUUGAAUUAGGUGUCUUUACAUUCACACAUGCCAAAUAUGGCAUGAAUGUUUGAACUCAGACCUUUUAACCCAAAGUACAUGCAAAGUUGUCUUCAAAAGAUAAAUUCCCAUAAAAUACAUGAUAAAAUGGUUAUAACAAAUAAUAACCUUUCCAUGAUAGUUCCCUACACAGCCACAC